UACGGAGGGGGCUAGCGUUGUUCGGAAUUACUGGGCGUAAAGCGCGCGUAGGCGGACCUGCAAGUCGGGGGUGAAAGCCCGAGGCUCAACCUCGGAACUGCCUUCGAUACUGCGGGUCUCGAGUUCGGGAGAGGUGAGUGGAAUUCCUAGUGUAGAGGUGAAAUUCGUAGAUAUUAGGAAGAACACCAGUGGCGAAGGCGGCUCACUGGCCCGGUACUGACGCUGAGGCGCGAAAUCGUGGGUAGCAAACAGG
Molecule: ribosomal RNA, 253 nt
Filed under: uncultured bacterium
Lineage: Bacteria
Description: partial 16S ribosomal RNA
Rfam family: Bacterial small subunit ribosomal RNA
Source: RNAcentral